Molecule: ribosomal RNA, 263 nt
Filed under: uncultured bacterium
Lineage: Bacteria
Description: partial 16S ribosomal RNA
Rfam family: Bacterial small subunit ribosomal RNA
Source: RNAcentral
GUCCACGCCGUAAACGAUGUCAACUAGCCGUUGGGUUCCUUGAGAACUUAGUGGCGCAGCUAACGCAUUAAGUUGACCGCCUGGGGAGUACGGCCGCAAGGUUAAAACUCAAAUGAAUUGACGGGGGCCCGCACAAGCGGUGGAGCAUGUGGUUUAAUUCGAAGCAACGCGAAGAACCUUACCAGGCCUUGACAUGCAGAGAACUUUCCAGAGAUGGAUUGGUGCCUUCGGGAACUCUGACACAGGUGCUGCAUGGCUGUCGU